AUCAUCUAUAAUAGGAAUUGGAAAGUUAUCCUUAAUAGUAAGAUCAUUCAAUCUUUUGUAAUUAAUACAAAACCUCCACGAGUCAUCUUUUUUCUCGACAAGCAACAUUGGAGAAGCAUAAGGGCUAGUACUUGGCUGUAUGACUCCACUCCCCAACAUUUCCUUCACCAAUUUUUCUAUUUCGGUCUUUUGGAAGUGUGGAUACCUA
This 208-nucleotide unclassified non-coding RNA is filed under the name Hevea brasiliensis (rubber tree). Lineage: Eukaryota; Viridiplantae; Streptophyta; Magnoliopsida; Malpighiales; Euphorbiaceae. The record is from RNAcentral.